UUAAUCAAUAGAUGAUAUACAAGUGUUUUUAUGGGUUUCUCAGAGUUCUACUCUCUCUCAUACUUUUUGAUUAUAUUUUAUUUUCAUAUUGAACAGUUUCUGGAUGAGAAACUAUCGAUGGAAAUGUUCUAAAAUAUUACUU
RNAcentral lists this small RNA (142 nucleotides) under Arabidopsis thaliana (thale cress). Its description in RNAcentral is "ATSL252100". Lineage: Eukaryota; Viridiplantae; Streptophyta; Magnoliopsida; Brassicales; Brassicaceae. The record is from RNAcentral.